RNAcentral lists this ribosomal RNA (477 nucleotides) under uncultured bacterium. RNAcentral describes it as "bacterial SSU rRNA". It matches the Rfam family "Bacterial small subunit ribosomal RNA", at positions 365 to 832 of the family's 1533-position model. The record is from RNAcentral.
UUCGCAAUGCCCGAAAGGGUGACGAAGCGACGCCGCGUGCGGGAAGAAGGCCCUCGGGUUGUAAACCGCUGUCGGGAGUUAGGAAGUGCAAGGAUGUUAAUAGCGUUCUUGCUUGACUAAGGCUCCGGAGGAAGCCACGGCUAACUCUGUGCCAGCAGCCGCGGUAAUACAGAGGCGGCAAGCGUUGUUCGGAAUUAUUGGGCGUAAAGAGCACGUAGGCGGCUGUGUAAGUCGGUUGUGAAAGCCUUCCGCUUAACGGAAGAACGGCAUCCGAUACUGCAUAGCUUGAGUGCGGGAGGGGAGAGUGGAACUUCUGGUGGAGCGGUGAAAUGCGUAGAUAUCAGAAGGAACACCGGCGGCGAAGGCGACUCUCUGGUCCGUAACUGACGCUGAGUGUGCGAAAGCUAGGGGAGCAAACGGGAUUAGAUACCCCGGUAGUCCUAGCCGUAAACGAUGGGCACUAAGUAGAGGGGUUUU